Molecule: ribosomal RNA, 468 nt
Filed under: uncultured bacterium
Lineage: Bacteria
Description: partial 16S ribosomal RNA
Rfam family: Bacterial small subunit ribosomal RNA
Source: RNAcentral
GACGAACGCUGGCGGCGUGCUUAACACAUGCAAGUCGAACGGAAAGGCCCUGCUUUUGUGGGGUGCUCGAGUGGCGAACGGGUGAGUAACACGUGAGUAACCUGCCCUUGACUUUGGGAUAACUUCAGGAAACUGGGGCUAAUACCGGAUAGGAGCUCCUGCUGCAUGGUGGGGGUUGGAAAGUUUCGGCGGUUGGGGAUGGACUCGCGGCUUAUCAGCUUGUUGGUGGGGUAGUGGCUUACCAAGGCUUUGACGGGUAGCCGGCCUGAGAGGGUGACCGGCCACAUUGGGACUGAGAUACGGCGCAGACGCCUACGGGAGGCAGCAGUGGGGAAUAUUGCACAAUGGGCGGAAGCCUGAGGCAGCAACGCCGCGUGCGGGAUGACGGCCUUCGGGUUGUAAACCGCUUUCGCCUGUGACGAAGCGUGAGUGACGGUAAUGGGUAAAGAAGCACCGGCUAACUACGUG